This 634-nucleotide long non-coding RNA is filed under the name Brassica napus (rape). Its description in RNAcentral is "long non-coding RNA (BNAP_LNC004464)". The record is from RNAcentral. Lineage: Eukaryota; Viridiplantae; Streptophyta; Magnoliopsida; Brassicales; Brassicaceae.
GAAUAUAUGAGAUCUAGCUUUUAAGAUGAAAGUGGAGAGGAAAUGAAAGGAAAGAGAGCUGGUGUAGAGUGAGAAGAAAAUAUAUGUAAAAUUAAUGUUUGAGCUUUAAGAGCUUCAAACUGAGUGUUCAUGAUUGUUGAAGAAGUUAUGGUAUUUUUGAAAAAGUUAAGUGAUGGUAUUUUUGAAAAAGUUAAGGAUUGUAUAGGGAUAAGACGACAAAAUAUAGUAGACAAAAAAGAUUAUGUAUGUAGUUUACUUCAAAUUUUAAAUUAUAUUUGAAAAACUCAUAAAAAGAUAAAUACUAAGAUAAAUACUAAUAAGUAUUUAAAUGUCUCAUUUGAAUAAUAAAAUUAAAUUUUAAAUAAAAAUAAACUAGAAUAAAAAUAUCAAAAUUGUAAUAAACUGACGAAAACAAAAGUAAAGUAAUGCCAAAUCACAUUCUAAUUUAGGUUCUCUUCAUCCUCAAUCACUUCAUUUUUGGGAUAGUAUAGUGAAAUCUUCAUCAAACUAACUAUUAAGAAUCACAAGUCUAGUAAUUUAGUUUCUAUUUUACACAACUAAAAGAAAAAUCAGAAACCCAAUUAACGAUCUAUAACAACACUUAAAAGAAUAAGAAAAGUUAAAUAAUAAUCAC